Molecule: transfer RNA, 1148 nt
Filed under: Homo sapiens (human)
Lineage: Eukaryota; Metazoa; Chordata; Mammalia; Primates; Hominidae
Description: long independently transcribed non-coding RNA 2739, transcript variant 1 (LINC02739)
Rfam family: tRNA (bases 1039-1111)
Source: RNAcentral
ACUGCGCAUAGCUCACUUUCUUGAGCAACCCUGUGUCCCCGCACCCCGCUCCUCUUCUUUCGGGUUCUAGGCAGCCGUGGGCGCUGCGACCCUUCUCUCACUGUCAGAGGGGCGGGAGCUCUCGGCCUGCGCCGCCUCCGCUGCCUGCUUGGUCGCGGGCUUGCCGGGAAUGGUGACAGCCCGGGCCCCCUCUUGGCCAAAGAAGUCCUCGAAAGCGUUCGGCGCACGGGCUUUGUCCAGCUUUUUAAACCGUAACAAGGACCGGGGCCGGGCGCGGUGGCUCACGCCUGUAAUCCCAGCAUUUUGGGAAGUCGAGGCGGACGGAUUACUUGAGGUCAUGAGUUCGAGACCAGCCUGGCCAACACGCAAAGAUAUCCAGACGCUGUAUGCAGGAAGAACUGAAUUUCAGAGGACACCGUUUGAUCUUCAACACCUGGCAGUUUACAAAACAGCCUGAAGAGGAGAGGGGGAAUCCUGGUGAGAAGCAUUUGGAAUUCAAGCUCAGAGAAGAAGACACGGAGUCCCAGCUGAGAACUCAAACUGGUAGAAGGAAGAUUAUUUUUCCUUCUCUAUAGGUGCUUGGAGGUAACGAGGGGAAAGGAGUUGAAAGGAAGGUGACAUUUCAGCUAAUCUGCUUCGCGCUACUUUUUUGAGGUGGGCACCUGGGAUGGAGGCAAGGAAUCACGAAGUGGCGUCUCCUCGGAAGGGGCAGCCUGAUGUCUUUAACCACUGAACUGUGGUUUCCAACUGGAUGCGCUUUGGGUUCAGGGCUAAGACACGCGUAGGCGGUGCAGACAGUUCAAUUCGUGGGCGGCUUUUUCUCUCCCCUGCGCGGUUUUGCAGAACUGAGGAUUCACGUUUGCCACGCAGUCUCUAAAUCCUCCUCCCAGCCCUCGCCGGAUUUCUGCAUCGGAAUUGGAUUGGAUCACACACAAAAGAAGAGCCCAGGAACUCGUUCACCACCUUGCACCUUGCCUGUUAGUUCACGGCAUAAUGGUAACAGAGUCUUCAUUAAUGGAAGCAACGUUACUACCGUGAGCCCGGAUAGCUCAGUCGGUAGAGCAUCAGACUUUUAAUCUGAGGGUCCAGGGUUCAAGUCCCUGUUCGGGCGGUAUCUUUUUUUUCCUCAUUAAAAGAGUAAGAACCAA